RNAcentral lists this unclassified non-coding RNA (264 nucleotides) under Glomeraceae sp. RNAcentral's name for it is "partial contains 5.8S ribosomal RNA and internal transcribed spacer 2". The stretch from base 1 to 71 matches the Rfam family "5.8S ribosomal RNA", at positions 84 to 154 of the family's 154-position model. Lineage: Eukaryota; Fungi; Glomeromycota; Glomeromycetes; Glomerales; Glomeraceae. The record is from RNAcentral.
GUGAAUCAUCGAAUUUUUGAACGCAAAUUGCACUCUCUGGUAUUCCGGAGAGUAUGCCUGUUUGAGGGUCAGUUUAAAUAAAAAUCGGUGUGGUUGCUGCCUUUCGUGGUGACGCACCGGAGUUGGGUCGUCUUACCUCCGGUUAAGUGACCUAAAAUCACGCAUGAUGUUUUCGAACGUAUUUAAAUGAUUUUACGUACGUUUGCGAUAUCGAAUACUAGGUGUGAUCAUGCACAUGAUUCUCGCCUAUAAUUUUUCACUCAA